UACAGAGGGUGCGAGCGUUGUUCGGAAUCACUGGGCGUAAAGCGCACGUAGGCGGCUUUUUAAGUCAGGGGUGAAAUCCUGGAGCUCAACUCCAGAACUGCCUUUGAUACUGAGAAGCUUGAGUCCGGGAGAGGUGAGUGGAACUGCGAGUGUAGAGGUGAAAUUCGUAGAUAUUCGCAAGAACACCAGUGGCGAAGGCGGCUCACUGGCCCGGUACUGACGCUGAGGUGCGAAAGCGUGGGGAGCAAACAGG
RNAcentral lists this ribosomal RNA (253 nucleotides) under uncultured bacterium. RNAcentral describes it as "partial 16S ribosomal RNA". It matches the Rfam family "Bacterial small subunit ribosomal RNA", at positions 524 to 776 of the family's 1533-position model. The record is from RNAcentral.